CAAGGAUGAAGUAGCCAUGCAAGAUCCUCUGAUUGCUAGGCUGGAAAACCCAGGAGGGUUUGCCCAGCCUUGCUUAAGAACAUCUUUCCUAGAAAUGAAUGGAGAAUUUCUGUGAUACUCCCCUCCUUGCUUCUAAGAGGAAGUGCAGAAAUAAAUGUGGCUUCCACAUCUCUUCUCUUCUGCAUUCAGAGCCAAUGCUCUACCGCCUGCACUGUGGUCUCCAUCAAAAAUCUUCAUCCCUCUGGUUAAUCCUGUUCCACUGCUGGCAGAGAUGAUGUUGCUUUGCUAUCCACUUCCUCUGUUCCUCACCUACUUUCAUGUUGCUGGUGAGAUUUCAUGAUAAAAGAACAACAUCUGCCUG
RNAcentral lists this long non-coding RNA (361 nucleotides) under Anas platyrhynchos platyrhynchos (common mallard). RNAcentral's name for it is "lncRNA (ENSAPLG00000024753.1)". The record is from RNAcentral. Lineage: Eukaryota; Metazoa; Chordata; Aves; Anseriformes; Anatidae.